UCCCGUGCGCUCCAUCCGUCUUGGAAUACCUCCUGCCCCCCUCUUUGAUAGGCGAGAAUGCGACUCACGAUGGACUUGGUGCGUCUCGCGCCGCAGUUCACCAACACGAUGCUACAGCGUGAAAUCGACCUUCGCGGGCUGCGGAUUUCCUCGCUCGAUGAGCACGUACUGGUGCUGCUCGAGAACAACUUCGAUGUCGUAAACCUUUCCUCCAACGCCCUGACGGCGCUAGAGUACUUUCCCACGACGUGUGCAGCCGGCAACAGCGACAAGGAUGUGAGGAUGAGCCGCGUCACCACCCUCGUUGCCCACCGAAACGAAAUUCAGCGCGUGAGUGUGACUUCGUGCGUGUCUGCGUUGCCCAACGUCGUGCACUUCUUGGCCGACCGCAACCGCCUCGCCUGCGUGCGCGAUCUCUACUUUUUGAAGCAGUGGAAGAAGCUGGAGGUGGUGUCGCUCGAGGACAAUCCUGUGUGGGAGACCAACAGCAACAAUUUUGAUAGCGAGAAACUGCGGGCGUUUCUCGUCUUCUUGUGCCCUAGGUUGAAGCUCAUCAACUACCAGCGCGUUACACAGGCUGAUAGAGAGCGUGCACAGAAGGCGAAGGACGAGUUCAAGAAGCUGGUGCUGUCGUGGGAAGCUCCACUUACACUGAGUACAGUGACACGGUCGCAGUCGUCAUCCACCGUAGACGCAAAGAAGACGCGCAAGCGCGGUCGCGAGGGCCGCACAGCGGCGGCCGCCGCAGUAUCAAGCAACGCGGACACUCUCGAUGGUGAGCCUGGCAGCGGCACAACGAGCGCGACCCCUGCCGCCGCCGAUGUGAACGAGGACGACGAUGCCGCUCUUCAAGCACGUCUAGACCAGCUGGAGAAGCGUCUCCUAUCCGACGAUGUCACGGCGGAGGAAAUCGCGGAGUUGGAGGAGGAGAUGACGGAGAUAUCGGAAAGGAUGGCAGCUGCGCGUAAGCGGAAGCGCCAUUAGCGUGUCAUUCUCUUUUUUUGUGUGAUGGCGAGUUAAGUUUGCGUGCGUGUUGCCCGUCUGUGUGCUACGCACGAGUCGCGGUGCAGCGAAAGAGGCCACCGCGCGCCUGUCAUGCGCGGCGACUGGGUGGUGCCCUGUUUUCUCAUGCCCUACAGCACCGUGUAUGACGAAACGCGUUUCAUCUGCGCAGCCGCAGAGACUACCCGGUGCACCUUCGCAAAUGAGCAGAGCAUCGCGUCUUCUUGUUCCGCCGCCGCCCUACCACGUUCCAGGUUGUAUUGCACUGCGCAGCCGAGAGGUUUCUUUGACAGGCGAACCCCUCCCCCCCAAAAAAAAACGUCCCGUUGCCCCGCUCGCUGUGUGCUGAGCCAGUCACCCCUUUUCUCUGUGCUACGAUGGCCUCGACAACGAUGGGGUGAUAUACCUCCCCCGUGCGGCACCACAGAUGAUCUUGCCUGCACACACUCGUCUAGUUCUUCUCCAUUCCCUUUUCUCUCGCGGGGUACGUUGAUCCGCCUCUUUCGACCACACGUCCACUGGGGGUGGGGUCGGCAAG
Molecule: unclassified non-coding RNA, 1540 nt
Filed under: Leishmania donovani
Lineage: Eukaryota; Euglenozoa; Kinetoplastea; Trypanosomatida; Trypanosomatidae
Description: gene:LdHU3.32.0260(CDS-product:U2_small_nuclear_r ibonucleoprotein_40K_putative)
Source: RNAcentral